GAUGAACGCUGGCGGCGUGCUUAACACAUGCAAGUCGAACGGUGAAGGCGGAGCUUGCUCUGCCGGAUCAGUGGCGAACGGGUGAGUAACACGUGAGCAAUCUGCCCCUGACUCUGGGAUAAGCGCUGGAAACGGCGUCUAAUACUGGAUACGAGCUGCGAAGGCAUCUUCAGCAGCUGGAAAGAAUUUCGGUCAGGGAUGAGCUCGCGGCCUAUCAGCUUGUUGGUGAGGUAAUGGCUCACCAAGGCGUCGACGGGUAGCCGGCCUGAGAGGGUGACCGGCCACACUGGGACUGAGACACGGCCCAGACUCCUACGGGAGGCAGCAGUGGGGAAUAUUGCACAAUGGGCGAAAGCCUGAUGCAGCAACGCCGCGUGAGGGACGACGGCCCUCGGGUUGUAAACCUCUUUUAGCAGGGAAGAAGCGAAAGUGACGGUACCUGCAGAAAAAGCGCCGGCUAACUACGUG
Molecule: ribosomal RNA, 468 nt
Filed under: uncultured bacterium
Lineage: Bacteria
Description: partial 16S ribosomal RNA
Rfam family: Bacterial small subunit ribosomal RNA
Source: RNAcentral